This 76-nucleotide transfer RNA is filed under the name Chloroflexota bacterium. Its description in RNAcentral is "Chloroflexi bacterium tRNA-Arg". It matches the Rfam family "tRNA". Rfam says of the family: Transfer RNA (tRNA) molecules are approximately 80 nucleotides in length. Their secondary structure includes four short double-helical elements and three loops (D, anti-codon, and T loops). Lineage: Bacteria; Bacillati; Chloroflexota. The record is from RNAcentral.
GCGCCCGUAGCUCAAUGGAUAGAGUAUCUGGUUCCGAACCAGAAGGUUGUGGGUUCGACCCCCGCCGGGCGUACUA